UACGGAGGGUGCAAACGUUGCUCGGAAUCAUUGGGCGUAAAGCGCACGUAGGCGGCCUGUUAAGUCGGGUGUGAAAGCCCCGGGCUCAACCUGGGAAUUGCAUUCGAGACUGCAUUGCUGGAGUACGGAAGAGGAGGGCGGAAUUCCCGGUGUAGCGGUGAAAUGCGUAGAUAUCGGGAGGAACAUCAGUGGCGAAGGCGGCCCUCUGGUCCAGUACUGACACUCAAGUGCGAAAGCGUGGGGAGCAAACAGG
This 253-nucleotide ribosomal RNA is filed under the name uncultured bacterium. Its description in RNAcentral is "partial 16S ribosomal RNA". It matches the Rfam family "Bacterial small subunit ribosomal RNA", at positions 524 to 776 of the family's 1533-position model. The record is from RNAcentral.